Molecule: long non-coding RNA, 4503 nt
Organism: Heterocephalus glaber (naked mole-rat)
Lineage: Eukaryota; Metazoa; Chordata; Mammalia; Rodentia; Bathyergidae
Source: Ensembl
CAGUACUUUAAUUCCUAUUGAUAGAGAAGAUAAAAUAAGUUAGUCUAUAUUUAGGUUUUAUUUGGGUAUUUGUGAUAAUUAAUAAGAAGGGAAGGAAACGUCUGUCCUAGAAAUGGAGAAGAUGAGAGGGGAUGGAGCAGCAAAAAAAAAAAAUUGGCUGCAUCAGCUAAGACUGCUGGGAAAAAAUAAGAUUGGCAAAAAAGUGGCUGAAUUUUAGUUUGGAGAACCGUGAAGGAAAGAAGAAUUUCAGCAAAUACAUCAGAAGAUGGAGUGGAGCCAAGGAGGAAGGUCCACAGUUGAUGGGCAUCUGGGCUGUUCCCAAGUUUUCGCUACUACAAACUGUGCUGCUAUGAACGUGGGCGCACAUAUAUCACUGUGUCUGAAAGCAGUUCAUCACUUCAGAUAAAGUCAGACACAAUCACAGAAGCAUCUGGCUGGAGAGGACCCGAGAGCUCAUCUCAUUUAGACCCUCACUUCUAGACUGGGUAUUGCUGUGAUGGAUUCAGGUUUUUGCAUCCUGCAUUCUGCACAAGCUUCUCUCAUUAUCAAAGGAAAAAAGUCGAGAGAGUGAAUGUGGAGCCUCAAGCAAACAUUUCUGAAAAUACUGCAUUAGACUUGUGAAUUGCAAAAUAUAUAGAUCACCUCCAUUUGCCCACUCACCUCCUGCCCUCCUACAGAAUAAGAGUUAUUUAUAUAACCUGAGGUGGGGCACCCAACAGUACUCCCUAUUCUUAUCUAGCCUCCUCUGCUUGGUCUUUCAUGCCAAAGCUGCAGGAGCAAACCAGGUCUGCCUUGAAGUUUGAAAGGUUCUGAGAUUUGGGUGUGAACGCAAGAUUAUAAAAGUCCUUCUUUCUCCUUCUAUCACUCUGGAUUAAUUGGUGGAAAGUUUUAAGGGCCAGAGCGGUCUCUAGGUCUCAGAUGAAUGCUCUCUGUUUGCCUCUUGGAGCACUGUCUUCUAGAAAGCCUGGCUCUCCAGGGACAGUCCCCUCCUCACUGGCUGGGCAGGGAUCUUGGUGUACCCAACACUUGAGGCCUCCCUAGUUCCCCAGACUGUCUUUUUUGCCUCCAGGUUAGCCAUGGGCCAAGGCAUACUAAAAUUUCUCUUCACAAGGAUACCUAGGAAAAGAGAUCCUACACUACCUAGAGAUCCAAAUUCAUAUUUGUCAUUAGGUUGGUAAACUCUGCUCUGUUUUAUCUUCACCUCUCUCCUUCUUGGCUUCUAUGGGAAUAAUAUAUUAAUUCUUUAGCAUUUAUUAAAAACGCUGCCCGAUUUGGUUGCGUAAAUUAACGGAAACUAUGGCUUCUAAUUCAAAGGUCAGGGACAUUUUGAAGAAUCAAAAAGGGAAGGGUUCAAGGAUGUGUCCACAGCAGAGUGCAUUACCAGUAGGGGUCAGGCCCAGUAGGCACUGUUGUCAAGGGCUUUGGUCACUUGGGAGCAGCCGUCAGACUGGCACUGAUAGGGGUGGGAUAGCACAGCCCACAGACACCUGUCCAUCUGCUUGACAGACACAGAGCCCAGUCAAUUGAAGACAAGCUGUCUGCCUCACUAUUCUGUACAUGAAUAGAUCUGACUUUUCCACUAGUUAGAGUGGAGGACAGAAUUUUGGUAUAUAUGGACAUUAAGAGCACCGAAGUGUUAGUGUCAGUGGAUCUCAGUUGGUUCUGCAAGGUCCUAUCUAUGUGACUUUGAGUUUGUUGCAUAACUAUCAAGCCAUACUUCCCUUAUCUCAGAAAUGGUGGUAAUGGUAAUACUUAACUCGUGAGGUUAUUCUGAUGACACAAUGGACAGAAACUUGAAAAUUACUGGCAUGUAAGUGGUAGUUAAUGUUAGAUAUUGUCUUAGUCAAUUGAGAAUGCUGCAACUGAAUACUUUAAAAUGAGUGCUUAAACAAAACACAUUUCACAGUUCUGGGGGCCAGGAAGUCCAAGAUCAGGGUGCCAGCAUGGUCAAGGUUUUGGUGGGAACCUUCUUCCUGGUUUUCAUUUGGCUUUCUUUUUGUUGUGUCUCACGUGGCAGAGAUCAGAAAGAGAGAAAGCAAGCAAGUCCCUUUGUGUUUCUUUUUCUAGGGCACUAAUCCCAUUCAGGGCUUCAUCCUUUUGACCAAAAAUUGCCUCCAAAAAGCCCAUCUUUAAAUACCAUCACACUGGGGAUUAGAUUUGAACAUAUGAAUUUUGAAAGACACAAACAUUCAGGUCAGGGCAGGUAUUGUUAUUAUCUAUCUCCUGCUCCCUUCUCAUCUAAAAGACGCUCUACCUAUAGACAUACUAUUGAAAAUAUAUUUUAGAACGCUCUCUUGUCUCAUUAUACUCUUUUAUUAUCAGUCCUUAACAUCAACCUCAUCUCCAGGAAAGAUUUUAAAGGAUGCCCUUAGUGUCAAGAGAAAGCUAAAUGUUCUUUCAGAAAUAUGGGCAAAAUACUUACAUAUCUACAGAUACUCAUAUGCUGUUCAUGAAUGUAUAAACUGGUAGAACGUUUUCAGAGAGCAAUAUGGCAAUAUGAACAGUAGUCCACUCUUUUUACUAAAUAUAUCUAUUAAUGGAACAGAUGAGAAAACCCAGAAAUAAUCUCAAAUGCACAUAGAAUUUGGUGUAUGAUGAAGAUGACAUUUCAAGUUAAUAGAGUACAGAUGAAUUAUCAAUGAAUUUAAUUGGGACAACUGGGUAGCCAUCUGAUAAAAUAUUAAGUUGGAUCCUUAUGCCAUUUCUUAUGCCAAAAUAAAUUUCAGGAGGAUAAAAUAUACAACUGUGAAAAAGGAAUCCAUAAAAGUGUGAUGAGAAAGCUUGGGGACAAUAAUUUAUAAUGUCAAAGUGAGGAAAAACGUCCCACUAAGAUGUCUUAAAAUUUGUUUCCAUAAAUGUAUGAUUUGUUAAAUGGUAAAAGGCAUGAAAAAUAUUACCAUGUGAAACACAGCCCACAUUUGUGAAAACUGUGACUAAUAUUUCUGCAAGCAGAUUCAUCUGCCAACUUGGGAUUUGUAAGUAAAAAAGUUUCAAUGGACUGUUUUGGUUCCAUCUUGUAUUUCAAAACGCCUUCCACGGAGAAAAAUGCCCAUAAUAUGGGAAGAUUGUGACCCUGUGGUGUACAGUGGAUUAGACACUGGAUGCAAAGAAACUUUCACUUUGCCCCUUCCUGGAUUUUCUGUUUCAGAGUAUGCGGAGGGCAGCCCAGAGAAGCACUAAUCUGGAAAAACAAAAGAAAACAAUUUUUUUCCUCAGUAUUUCCCAAAAUUUCCUAUCUGAAAGCAUUGAGUUUUUAAUUUUUUGAAACAAUAAUAUUGUGUAUAUAUUAUAUGUUGUGAACACCCCCUUCAUAGCAUAUGGGGCUACAUUCUAUAACCAGAUAUGUUUUUAUUUGUGCAGCAAACAAGUGACUAUUCACUUCCAAUGAGAUAAAUGAAAUCUCACAGUAGUCCAGGUCAAGUUUUACACCGAAUGACUUUUGGUAUUGAAUUUUUGAAAAUUCUUAGUUUUGGAGUGUUAUGGAUAAGAGAAUGAGUGCUUAUAUUCAAAGACUGGUUACAAAUCAAUAGAGAAAAAACAACAACCCAUUAGAAAAUGGAAAAGUAUAUGAACAGGGCUGGAGAUUUAGCUCAGUGGUUCUGCCGCCUGCCUCACAAGCGCAAGGACCUGAGUUUGAUACCCAGUACCAAAGAAAAAAAAAGGUAUAUGAACAGGUCACAGAAAAGGAAAUACAAAUGGUUCUUAGAUUAAUACAAAGGUUACCAAUCCCUUUAUUAAUAAAAAAUGCAAAAUAAAGCUACAAGGAACCAUUUUCAUACAUCGGGUGGGUAAAUAUCUGAAAGUUUGAGAAGUAACUGAUGUCAAAAGUGUGAAGAAACACACUCAUGUAUUGCUCAUAGGCACAUAUUAUAGUACAACUUCUAAAGAUAGCUAUUUAACAAGAUCAACAAAAGUUAAAUUAAAUAUGCACUUCUACAUCUGAGAGCUUAUUUUAGAUGUAUGCAAUGAUAGGACACUGAUUAAAACAUUAUACAAAUGUUAUAAACAAAAUGCAGUACAAUUUUAUGUAAUAUUUAGGAAGAAUAUGACUAACCUUUAUGUGUUAACAUAAAACAGUACUCAAGGUAAAUACUAAGAAAAUAAACCAAAAAGCAAGCAAACAACAAAAACAAUGUGUGUAAAUUAGGUUUAUUAAGGUACAAUCUGUGGAGAGGAAAAGAAAAAUUUGACAAAAUUGCCACUUUUGCAAGUCAAAAUUACAAUGUAUAUUAAACAUCAUAACAGUCAUUGUCCCUGUGUAGGAAAACUGAAUGGCUGGGAUACAGAAAUAUGAUAUUUUUCAGCACACAUAUUUUGCCCCCUAUGCAUUUUGACUCAGGAACUACUGAUAAGAAAAUAAGAAAAGAUGACUUAUUCACAUCAUAUUACAGAAACCAUCUAAAGGUCCAAAAAUAUUGGAUUGAUUAAAUAAAUCAUGAUAUCUCCAUAAUGAGCUAUUAUGCAGCUUCAGCAACUAAGUUGUAGAAUAACUUUUAUAUAAAC